AUUGAACGCUGGCGGCAGGCCUAACACAUGCAAGUCGAGCGGAUGAAGGGAGCUUGCUCCUUGAUUCAGCGGCGGACGGGUGAGUAAUGCCUAGGAAUCUGCCUGGUAGGGGGGGAUAACGUCCGGAAACGGGCGCUAAUACCGCAUACGUCCUGAGGGAGAAAGUGGGGGAUCUUCGGACCUCACGCUAUCAGAUGAGCCUAGGUCGGAUUAGCUAGUUGGUGGGGUAAAGGCCUACCAAGGCGACGAUCCGUAACUGGUCUGAGAGGAUGAUCAGUCACACUGGAACUGAGACACGGUCCAGACUCCUACGGGAGGCAGCAGUGGGGAAUAUUGGACAAUGGGCGAAAGCCUGAUCCAGCCAUGCCGCGUGUGUGAAGAAGGUCUUCGGAUUGUAAAGCACUUUAAGUUGGGAGGAAGGGCAGUAAGUUAAUACCUUGCUGUUUUGACGUUACCAACAGAAUAAGCACCGGCUAACUUCGUG
Molecule: ribosomal RNA, 484 nt
Filed under: uncultured bacterium
Lineage: Bacteria
Description: partial 16S ribosomal RNA
Rfam family: Bacterial small subunit ribosomal RNA
Source: RNAcentral